RNAcentral lists this ribosomal RNA (484 nucleotides) under uncultured bacterium. RNAcentral describes it as "partial 16S ribosomal RNA". It matches the Rfam family "Bacterial small subunit ribosomal RNA", at positions 30 to 507 of the family's 1533-position model. The record is from RNAcentral.
AUUGAACGCUGGCGGCAGGCCUAACACAUGCAAGUCGAGCGGAUGAAGGGAGCUUGCUCCUGGAUUCAGCGGCGGACGGGUGAGUAAUGCCUAGGAAUCUGCCUGGUAGUGGGGGAUAACGUCCGGAAACUGGCGCUAAUACCGCAUACGUCCUGAGGGAGAAAGUGGGGGAUCUUCGGACCUCACGCUAUCAUAUGAGCCUAGGUCGGAUUAGCUAGUUGGUGGGGUAAAGGCCUACCAAGGCGACGAUCCGUAACUGGUAUGAGAGGAUGAUCAGGCACACUGGAACUGAGACACGGUCCAGACUCCUACGGGAGGAAGCAGUGGGGAAUAUUAGGCGAGGGGGGAGAGCCUGAUACAGCCAUGCCGCGUGUGUGAAGAAGGUCUUCGGAUUGUAAAGCACUUUCAGUUGGGAGGAAGGGAAGUAAGUUAAUACCUUGCUGUUUUGACGUUACCAAAAGAAUAAGCACCGGCUAACUUCGUG